GUAGUUGGAUUACUCAUUCUCUCACGUAGGUUCCCACAGCAGGUGUCUCCCUCAACCCAACCUGGACGGGGGGCCACCUGGAUUGACAUUCGUCAUCUCUUCCACUGGACCGUGAGCUCCUUGAGGGCAGGUAAGAAAACUGAGGCUCAGAACGGGAAGUUCAUUGCUCAUCAUCAAACAUCCAGGAAAUGGUGGAGCCUGAAUGGGAACUCAGCUUCCAACAUGGCGUGGAUGUGGCCCAUCCCUUGGUGGCCUGGCUGGGUCUAUCUUAUGACAGUACGAGGUUGAAUGUUGGAGUGCCUUGCAGAAGAGAGAGAAAAUGUUGCUAAAACUUCAGGGGAAUGACUGGUCGAAAAUGUUUGACAU
RNAcentral lists this long non-coding RNA (366 nucleotides) under Homo sapiens (human). RNAcentral's name for it is "HSALNT0261635". Lineage: Eukaryota; Metazoa; Chordata; Mammalia; Primates; Hominidae. The record is from RNAcentral.